This 375-nucleotide ribosomal RNA is filed under the name uncultured bacterium. RNAcentral's name for it is "bacterial SSU rRNA". It matches the Rfam family "Bacterial small subunit ribosomal RNA", at positions 524 to 898 of the family's 1533-position model. The record is from RNAcentral.
UACGUAGGUGGCAAGCGUUGUCCGGAAUUAUUGGGCGUAAAGCGCGCGCAGGCGGCUUCCCAAGUCCCUCUUAAAAGUGCGGGGCUUAACCCCGUGAUGGGAAGGAAACUGGGAAGCUGGAGUAUCGGAGAGGAAAGUGGAAUUCCUAGUGUAGCGGUGAAAUGCGUAGAGAUUAGGAAGAACACCGGUGGCGAAGGCGACUUUCUGGACGAAAACUGACGCUGAGGCGCGAAAGCGUGGGGAGCAAACAGGAUUAGAUACCCUGGUAGUCCACGCCGUAAACGAUGGAUACUAGGUGUAGGAGGUAUCGACCCCUCCUGUGCCGGAGUUAACGCAAUAAGUAUCCCGCCUGGGAAGUACGAUCGCAAGAUUAAA